UACAGAGGGUGCAAGCGUUGUUCGGAAUUAUUGGGCGUAAAGAGCUCGUAGGCGGUUUGUCGCGUCGGCUGUGAAAUCCCGAGGCUCAACCUCGGGCCUGCAGUCGAUACGGGCAAACUAGAGUGUGGUAGGGGAGACUGGAAUUCCUGGUGUAGCGGUGAAAUGCGCAGAUAUCAGGAGGAACACCGGCGGCGAAGGCGGGUCUCUGGGCCAUAACUGACGCUGAGGAGCGAAAGCGUGGGGAGCGAACAGG
Molecule: ribosomal RNA, 253 nt
Filed under: uncultured bacterium
Lineage: Bacteria
Description: partial 16S ribosomal RNA
Rfam family: Bacterial small subunit ribosomal RNA
Source: RNAcentral